RNAcentral lists this ribosomal RNA (119 nucleotides) under Pteropus alecto (black flying fox). Lineage: Eukaryota; Metazoa; Chordata; Mammalia; Chiroptera; Pteropodidae. The record is from RNAcentral.
GUCUACGGCCAUGCCACUCUGAACAAGCCCAAUCCCUUCUGAUCUCGGAAGGUAAGCAGGGUCAGGCCUGGUUAGUGCUUAGAUGGGAGAUCGCCUAGGAAGACCAGGUGCUGUAGGCA